AGAGUUUGAUCCUGGCUCAGGAUGAACGCUAGCGGCAGGCUUAAUACAUGCAAGUCGAGGGGCAGCAGGUCUGUAGCAAUACAGAUGCUGGCGACCGGCAAACGGGUGCGGAACACGUACAGAACCUUCCUUCGAGCGGGGAAUAGCCCAGAGAAAUUUGGAUUAAUACCCCAUAGUAUACUGAAGAGGCAUCUCUUUAGUAUUAAAGAUUUAUCACUUGAAGAUGGCUGUGCGGCUGAUUAGGUAGUUGGCGGGGUAAAGGCCCACCAAGCCUGCGAUCAGUAACUGGUGUGAGAGCACGACCAGUCACACGGGCACUGAGACACGGGCCCGACUCCUACGGGAGGCAGCAGUAAGGAAUAUUGGUCAAUGGACGAAAGUCUGAACCAGCCAUGCCGCGUGAAGGAUGAAGGUCCUCUGGAUUGUAAACUUCUUUUAUAUGGGACGAAAAAAGGGUUUUCUAACUCAACUGACGGUACCAUAUGAAUAAGCACCGGCUAACUCCGUGCCAGCAGCCGCGGUAAUACGGAGGGUGCAAGCGUUAUCCGGAUUCACUGGGUUUAAAGGGUGCGUAGGUGGGUUGGUAAGUCAGUGGUGAAAUCCCCGAGCUUAACUCGGGAACUGCCAUUGAUACUAUCAGUCUUGAAUACCGUGGAGGUCAGCAGAAUAUGUCAUGUAGCGGUGAAAUGCUUAGAUAUGACAUAGAAUACCAAUUGCGAAGGCAGCUGGCUACCCGAAUAUUGACACUGAGGCACGAAAGCGUGGGGAUCAAACAGGAUUAGAUACCCUGGUAGUCCACGCCCUAAACUAUGGAUACUCGACAUACGCGAUACACUGUGUGUGUCUGAGCGAAAGCAUUAAGUAUCCCACCUGGGAAGUACGACCGCAAGGUUGAAACUCAAAGGAAUUGGCGGGGGUCCGCACAAGCGGUGGAGCAUGUGGUUU
RNAcentral lists this ribosomal RNA (945 nucleotides) under uncultured bacterium. RNAcentral describes it as "bacterial SSU rRNA". It matches the Rfam family "Bacterial small subunit ribosomal RNA", at positions 8 to 947 of the family's 1533-position model. The record is from RNAcentral.